GCAUGGUCCUCCAACUGCUUUGAAAGCAUUUGCUCAUGGAGAAGCACUACGGCUUAUAAGCAAUGAACACUGAGGAUGAGCUGUACCUAGAAAUUGCUGUUGGAUACUGACAAUGGUGGCAUUUGUGGAGGAGGACUUUGAAGGGAGGAAUCCAAGAGCCUGAAAAGUGAGUAAGGAAAUGAAAGGAGAAUACGAGUCUCGUUAAUUGUAAGCUUUAUUGUUUCCCACAGCCAGAUGAGUGUGAAACAGAAACACAAAUCAUGAAAAGAUUCCCAGUGGUAAUUAUGUACUGAAUACACGGAGAGAACAUUUCCCAAGUCAUUGGAAAGAGCGAAUCCUUGAAAGAUGACUGGGUGAGCACAUCAUGCACAGCAGUGAUGAGGCAGAGAGCAGAGACCCUGGGAUGUCCAUAGUGAUGCGUCAACCCAUGGCCAUGGUGUCCAAGGAGGAGGAGCCAGUAGUGGUGGAGCGUGGCUGGAUCCUGCAGCUAGUAUUUGGGGCACUGUGGUGGCAGCUUGC
This 519-nucleotide long non-coding RNA is filed under the name Gallus gallus (chicken). Lineage: Eukaryota; Metazoa; Chordata; Aves; Galliformes; Phasianidae. The record is from RNAcentral.